Molecule: ribosomal RNA, 253 nt
Filed under: uncultured bacterium
Lineage: Bacteria
Description: partial 16S ribosomal RNA
Rfam family: Bacterial small subunit ribosomal RNA
Source: RNAcentral
UACGUAGGGACCGAGCGUUGUCCGGAUUCAUUGGGCGUAAAGAGCUCGUAGGCGGCCACUCAAGUCGAAUGUGAAAGCCCGGGGCUUAACCCCGGGUCUGCAUUCGAUACGGGCUGGCUAGAGUGUGGUAGGGGAGAUCGGAAUUCCUGGUGUAGCGGUGAAAUGCGCAGAUAUCAGGAGGAACACCGGUGGCGAAGGCGGAUCUCUGGGCCAUUACUGACGCUGAGGAGCGAAAGCGUGGGGAGCGAACAGG